AAGCAUGUGUGCCAGGAAAGGGACACGGCUUAGCUGGGUGCCUCUGCCUCAAGGUCUCCUUGAAGCUUGGGCUGCGUCUCUAUUGCAGCUCGACUUGGGGAGGGUUUGCUCCCAAGUUCACUCACAUGCGUGUUGACAGGGUUUGUUUGGACUGGAAGUCUGAGUUCCUGCCUGUCUGUUGACCGAUCACUCCCUCAUUCUCUCCUAUGGAGCCUCUACAAAGGGUGACUGAAAACAUUUGCACUUGCUCCCCCAGUUCCAGAGAUAUAAGACACAGAGUGAGAGAGAGAGAUUGGAACAGAAGGAGGGAAAGAGGGAGGGGGCUGGAGAUAAUGAGUAAGAAGGAAGGGCCAGGCUUUUUGUUCUUAACCCUUGGUUGCGUGCCUUCCCAUCACCUUGGCUGCAUUCUGUUCAGAAGCCAGUUCCUGACCACUGUGUCGUUCCACAAGGAUGUGCAGAGCAGAAGACAGUGAGGAUUGGGAGCCAUGGUGGAGGCUGCCCACCACAUAGGCCGACACGAGGCACUUGGGUCUGAUUCUAAGUCAAACAGGAGACCGUGCAAGGUUUCAUGCCAGUGAAUGGAAAUAUCUGAAUUGCCCCUAAUUUCCACCUCUUAAAGGUGCAGACCUGGAAAUGAGGCCCAGAGGGGCAGGGACUUUCUCAAGGUCACAGAGCCAGAACCCAGGCCUGUUUUGAGAGGUACUCCACAUGACAUCCCACCCCUACUUGUCAUUCUUUCAUCUCUAAGUGUGUGCAUCAGACACAUGGAAACCGGACCACAGGUGGUGUUGUUAUUAUCUCUUCUACACCUGAGGACGUCCCGAGGGAGAUAUUUCUGGCAUCGUCCCCAUCGUGCAGGUUGGACGAUUAAGGAGGCCCUGGGAAGCACAAUGGCGUUUCCAGGACACAGAGCUUGUAGGAAAAAACAUGGCGGAACUCAGCUGCUUGUCCUCCAGCUGGAACCCUGGUUUCAUUGUCAAGGUCCUGUGUGGAGCUCUGUCAUGGGUAAUUGUGUGCAGUUAUGGAGAUGACAUGGACAAGGAGGGUGAGCAGCCAAGAGCCUAGAGGGGUUUUGGGUGAGUGUGAUUGAAGGGAGGGGCCCAGGUAAGGGAGCCUUGAGGAAGUGACCUCACUUCCUUGGAGACAGACCCUAACAGAACUUAGCACACUGGUCUCCAGGCGCCCACAUUCUACACAUAGCCUCCUAUUGAGCUCACUUGAGUGGAGACAUUCAAGAGAACAGCAUGUUCUCCUGUUGUCUCCCGACUUGUCGAGGCUCUGGCUUCAGGAAAGCCAAGAAAAAGAGCCUUUUCAGUCACUAUAGACACUGGCUUGUCCCUCACCUGCACCGCCUCUGGCCAUUUGUCAGGAGGAGCCCUCAGAGCUGCAUGCAGGAGGUGGUCGAAGAGCUGGCAAAUGGCUUCGGGUACUCCAUUUCCCUGGACAGGGGGCAACUGCACAGCGCCACCAUCAAUAACCAGGGCUGCUCUGAGCGUUUAGAUGAGGCCAGUUUCUGUCUAACCUAGGCCUUCAGGAUGCGUGCCCUCCAGGCAGGCAGGAUGGAGCACCUGUCAGACUCCCUGGUACCAGCCUUCCCAGGUAGAGUCAUCUGCAGUGGUACCACAUCCAUGAGCCACUACUUGGUCUUCAGCGCAUCCCACCGGGUCCUGGACCAGCUGUUUCCCAGGUGACUGCCCGCCUCCUCCUCAGCACAGUGGUGACUCUGCCCACUGUCAGCUGGGUGUCUUGGGAAUGUCAUCACAUCACUCUGAGCUUCAGUUGGCUCCUGUGGACAGUGGGGUGGGGGAGGAGGAACUUGCUAGGGUUCUCCCAGGGAUGAAUGGGAUCAGCCAUCCAGGUGCUUCCCUGCUGCCUGACUCUGAGAGGGCUGUGGGCCACGCUGGGGUUGUUGUUGGUGAUUAUUUCUCUGUGUCCCAUGAAAAGUAGUCUUCCUGUGCCAUCACUGGCUUGUGGCCUUUCUGAGUUUGGAAAAGCACAUGCAGAGUACCCUGUCAAGGAGUUUGAGAUUCCAUCCUGCUGGCCUUGCUGCUUGUCCUUGGUGUAGCCAUUUACAGAUCUCUGGGGAAAUGGAGUGGUGCCAGGACAACUCAUAUAUCAAGGAUGGUUCUGGAUGGAGUUCAUUCAACAAGGUCCCGUCCACCAUCCAUCCCGUGUGAUGCCCUCAUACCCUAUGGGACUUCCAGAAGCACCUUCUCCCUGUGUGAGUGGGAUGAUUGUCCACAGGACCAAUGAAAAAAUGCUAUCUAUCUGAUGCUGGGAAGCUGGCUGGACCAAGGGCAGGAUUUCAGGGAGCCCUGCAAUUCCCCUGUUGGAUGGUGAGGUUGGCCACUCAUCACAUCAGCUUUGGUGGCUCAGACCCGGAGGGCCAUGCCUGCCUUCUGCUGGGCCACCUGAAGCCUCUCAAGGCCAUUGAGCAGGAGCAGAAAUGUGAGGGGACUGCAGUCUGGGAAGACUGUGCUGGGGUUCAUGGGCUGGAAUUUCCUGAAAGGCAGUGGAGUCUUUCCUGUCUUUGGAAAGGCACGGGAACUGUCAGGUGUGUGGGUGACACUUUCUCCUUAUCCUGCUCCAGAGCCAGCUCCAAAGCUCCUGCCACUUCCAGAGCCAGAGCCAGAGCCAGCGCCAGCCCCUGGGCUAGAGCCAGCUCCAGCUCCAACUCCAGCUCCUCCAACUGUGGCAGAGCUGGAGCCAGCAUCACCUGCAUCAGACCCUCCAGGGCUGGAGCAAUGGCCACUAUUAACUUCAACCCCAGUGCCAGCUCCUGAACUAGAUCCCACUGGACCCUGGUCUGUGACCACCGAGAACCAGCUGAGGGAGGAGAAGCCGAACCUCUUAGAUUUCCCUCCCCAGCUGGUGUCAGAGCAGCUGACAAGGAUGUAGGCGGUGGGCAGCGGGGCUUGCAGGGCAGGGGGGUCCUGCCUUCCUGUGCCACGAGCUGCCCCAGACCUGCCAUUGCCUGAUCUGGAUUCCAGUGAUCUGGGUCCACAUCCCUGCUCCCCCGUUACCAACACUGUGACCUGGGCACUUUCUUAACCCCCAGCGCUCGCUGUCCCCAUGUGCACAGCAGAGCCGGACACUAAGGGCACCUGCUGCACAGGGUGGAUGUGCCAAUGAAUGAGGUGGAACAGAGAAGAAGUUGGGCAGAGUCUGGCCCUUUGGUGGGGGAGGGAGCUCACUGAAGUGCUGCCAGGUCCUCGUGUCCAACACUCGAGUGCCCAGGUGGCCUUCACAUCCUCAACACUUAUCAGGCACGUGAUGUGUACUGACUCCAGCGGAGACAAUCACACAAAGCCGGUGCUUCUCCCUGCCUUGGGGGAAUGUGCAUGGGAAUGGGGAGUGGGACCUGAGGGGGACUGGGAUGGGUGGAAGAUGGCCUUUGUGGUGAGCCGGCAUGGGCUGCAUUCUGGAGCUUGGAGGAAAUGAGACGGGGCUGGGGGAAAAUGUCCUCCCUUCUGCACAGGACUGUGUCCUGGGUCAUCUUGUGCUGGCACCUUCAGUGGACACAGACAAAACCCAGGGAGUCCGACACACCUCAGAGAUCACACCCUCUGCUUCCUGAGCUCCCACGCUGUCCUCACCCCACCUGGGACUGUGGGGGACCAAGGAUGCCGAGCUGGGGUGAGGCAGUACUGGCAACACUCUGAAUCUUCCUCAGGAGCUGUUCAAGAAAUUGGUGCCCGCCCACUGCCUGGGCUCCAUCUGGUUCCAGCAAGACAACAGGGACCACAAAUACCUGGCACCUACCAUCCGUGACACUGUGGCACACACGAACACCUUGGUCAACAGUGGAAUUCUCAGGUGCCAA
This is a long non-coding RNA of Equus caballus (horse), 3823 nucleotides long. RefSeq lists it as uncharacterized. Lineage: Eukaryota; Metazoa; Chordata; Mammalia; Perissodactyla; Equidae. The record is from RefSeq and is a predicted model, not a curated record.